This 233-nucleotide ribosomal RNA is filed under the name uncultured bacterium. Its description in RNAcentral is "partial 16S ribosomal RNA". It matches the Rfam family "Archaeal small subunit ribosomal RNA", at positions 745 to 977 of the family's 1478-position model. The record is from RNAcentral.
UCCACGGUGUAAACGCUGCGGGCUUGGUGUUGGGGAUCCUACGAGGGUGUCCAGUGCCGGAGAGAAGUUGUUAAGCCCGCCGCCUGGGGAGUACGAUCGCAAGAUUGAAACUUAAAGGAAUUGGCGGGGGAGCACUGCAACGGGUGGAGCGUGCGGUUCAAUUGGAUUCAACGCCGGAAAACUCACCAGGAGCGACUGUUACAUGAAGGUCAAGCUGAUGACUUUACCUAAUU